UCCUCCUUCAGUUCCUGUACUCUUGAUGAUUUCUGCAUUGAUGAGACCAAUGUUUCCAUCCUGCAGUGCUUUCAACCAAGAAUAAAAACAACUCAAAAAGCAAUGAAGUGAUUCAGUCAACAAUAAUGAAACAUGGAAACAUUACUGUGUUCAGACAGAAUGGGAGGUCAGAUUUAGAGGCAGCACGA
Molecule: long non-coding RNA, 188 nt
Organism: Sander lucioperca (pikeperch)
Lineage: Eukaryota; Metazoa; Chordata; Actinopteri; Perciformes; Percidae
Exons: 3
Source: RefSeq, a predicted model, not a curated record